GUAGGUGAACCUGCGGAAGGAUCAUUACAGAGUUCAUGCCCUUCGGGGUAGAUCUCCCACCCUUGUGUAUCAUUAUAGAAUGUUGCUUUGGCGGGCCGCGCCUAGUGUGCCUGGAUUCGCGUCCAGCGUGCCCGCCAGAGGACCCUAAACUCUGUUUAUACAUGUCGUCUGAGUACUAUAUAAUAGUUAAAACUUUCAACAACGGAUCUCUUGGUUCUG
RNAcentral lists this unclassified non-coding RNA (219 nucleotides) under rhizosphere metagenome. Its description in RNAcentral is "partial ribosomal RNA internal transcribed spacer region". The record is from RNAcentral.